GUACACUCCUACGGGAGGCAGCAGUGGGGAAUAUUGGACAAUGGGCGCAAGCCUGAUCCAGCCAUGCCGCGUGAGUGAUGAAGGCCCUAGGGUUGUAAAGCUCUUUCACCGGUGAAGAUAAUGACGGUAACCGGAGAAGAAGCCCCGGCUAACUUCGUGCCAGCAGCCGCGGUAAUACGAAGGGGGCUAGCGUUGUUCGGAUUUACUGGGCGUAAAGCGCACGUAGGCGGACUAUUAAGUCAGGGGUGAAAUCCCGGGGCUCAACCCCGGAACUGCCUUUGAUACUGGUAGUCUUGAGUUCGAGAGAGGUGAGUGGAAUUCCGAGUGUAGAGGUGAAAUUCGUAGAUAUUCGGAGGAACACCAGUGGCGAAGGCGGCUCACUGGCUCGAUACUGACGCUGAGGUGCGAAAGCGUGGGGAGCAAACAGGAUUAGAAACCCUGGUAGUCCCAU
Molecule: ribosomal RNA, 451 nt
Filed under: uncultured organism
Description: partial 16S ribosomal RNA
Rfam family: Bacterial small subunit ribosomal RNA
Source: RNAcentral